CCUGCCAGUAGUCAUAUGCUUGUCUCAAAGAUUAAGCCAUGCAUGUCUAAGUAUAAUCAUUUUAUCGAAAAACUGCGGACGGCUCAUUAAAUCAGUUAUAAUCUAUUCGAUGGCUAAAAUUACAUGGAUAACUGUAGUAAUUCUAGAGCUAAUACAUGAACGAAGCCAUGCUUUACUGUGUGGUGUUUUUACAAGUUAACAUAAACCUAUUUUAACUACUGACUUAUUGUAAACUAACAGACCGAACAGGCUUGUCCUGGCGGCGCAUCGUAUGAAUUUCUGCCCUAUCAACUUUGAUGGUAGUGUAGUGGACUACCAUGGUGGCGACGGGUAACGGGGAAUUAGGGUUCGAUUCCGGAGAGGGAGCCUGAGAAACGGCUACCACUUCUAAGGAAGGCAGCAGGCGCGCAAAUUACCCAAUCCCAAUACGGGGAGGUAGUGACAAAAAAUAGCAAUGCUUAGACCAUUCAAAAUGGUCUGGUAAUUGAAAUGAGUACAAUUUAAAAAACUUAACGAGGAACAAUUGGAGGGCAAGUCUGGUGCCAGCAGCCGCGGUAAUUCCAGCUCCAAUAGCGUAUACUAAAAUUGUUGCAGUUAAAAAGCUCGUAGUCGAAAGCCGCGCGUUGCUUUCACUGGGGCCCCCUAGAGGGGCCAAAACUGGUGGAGUGAAGCGCUAUCGUCUUAUAUACCAGACGGCCUUAAUUGUGUCGUUUGAACGUGUAUACAGACUAAAUUACUGUGAAAAAAUUAGAGUGUUCAAGGCAGGCGUUACAGCUUGUAUAGAUUAGCAUAGGAUAAUGAUAAGAUUGAGAAUUUACGUUCUGUAGGUUUAAAAUGCUUAAUAAUGGUUAAUAGGGUUUAUCAGGGGCGCUCAUAUUUAAUUGUCAGAGGUGAAAUUCUUGGAUUUAUGAAAGAUGAACUAAUGCGAAAGCAUCCGCCAUGGGUAUUCCCAUUGAUCAAGAACGAAAGUUAAGGGAUCGAAGACGAUCAGAUACCGUCGUAGUCUUAACUAUAAACGAUACCGACCAACACUCGAAAGACGUUAUAUGGAUGACUCCUCCGGAAGUUUGUGAGAAAUCAUAAGUCUUCGGGUUCUGGGGGGAGUAUGGUCGCAAGGCUGAAACUUAAAGGAAUUGACGGAAGGGCACACCAGAAGUGGAGCCUGCGGCUUAAUUUGACCCAACACGGGAAAUCUCACCAGGUCCAGACAUUAGUAUGAUAGACAGAUUAAGAGCUCUUUCUAGAUUUUGUGGGUGGUGGUGCAUGGCCGUUCUUAGUUGGUGGAUUGAUUUGUCUGCUUAAUUGCGAUAACGAACGAGACCUCAGCCUGCUAACUAGUACAUUUAACUUUCAAAUGGUUGAAGCUCUUGAUUGUUGAGGGGCCUCGGUCCUUCAAUAAACUUGAGUGGAAGCUCGAAAUGUUACAAUGUUGCUUCUUAGAGGGACUAUUGGCGAUUAGUCAAAGGAAGUUUGAGGCAAUAACAGGUCUGUGAUGCCCUUAGAUGUUCUGGGCCGCACGCGCGCUACAAUGACCAGGGCAACGAGCCAACCUUAGUCAAAAGACUUGGGAAAACUUUUAAACCUGGUCUUAACUGGAAUAGAUUAUUGAAAUUAUUAGUCUUAAACGAGGAAUUUCUAGUAAGCGUGCGUCACUAGCGCACGUUGAUUACGUCCCUGCCCUUUGUACACACCGCCCGUCGCUUCUACCGAUUGAAUGUUUCGGUGAAAUAUCUGGAGGAACGUAUAAACCCUGCGAGGGGUGAGUAUGUUAUCAAAAGAUAGUAAACCACAAUGUUUAGAGGAAGAAGAAGUCGU
RNAcentral lists this ribosomal RNA (1815 nucleotides) under uncultured soil eukaryote. Its description in RNAcentral is "SSU rRNA". It matches the Rfam family "Eukaryotic small subunit ribosomal RNA". The record is from RNAcentral.